Molecule: ribosomal RNA, 493 nt
Filed under: uncultured bacterium
Lineage: Bacteria
Description: partial 16S ribosomal RNA
Rfam family: Bacterial small subunit ribosomal RNA
Source: RNAcentral
GACGAACGCUGGCGGCGUGCUUAACACAUGCAAGUCGAACGGUGAAGGGACCGGUUUUUGCUGGUUCUGGAUGAGUGGCGAACGGGUGAGUAACACGUGAGUAACCUGCCCCCUUCUUCUGGAUAACCGCAUGAAAGUGUGGCUAAUACGGGAUAUUCUGCGCCUGCUGCAUGGUGGGUGUUGGAAAGAUAUUGUUUCGGUGGGGGAUGGGCUCGCGGCCUAUCAGCUUGUUGGUGGGGUGAUGGCCUACCAAGGCGGUGACGGGUAGCCGGCCUGAGAGGGUGGACGGUCACACUGGGACUGAGACACGGCCCAGACUCCUACGGGAGGCAGCAGUGGGGAAUAUUGCACAAUGGGCGCAAGCCUGAUGCAGCGACGCCGCGUGAGGGAUGGAGGCCUUCGGGUUGUAAACCUCUUUCGCCAGUGAAGCAGGCCUGUCCCUUUUGUGGGUGGGUUGACGGUAGCUGGAUAAGAAGCGCCGGCUAACUACGUG